GAUUAAAUGGCUGAUAAUAGGUAAUAAAUUGUAAAUUUAUUUAUAAGAUUAAUAAUCUUUUUAAUCA
RNAcentral lists this transfer RNA (67 nucleotides) under Tripteroides atripes. Its description in RNAcentral is "tRNA-Tyr". Lineage: Eukaryota; Metazoa; Arthropoda; Insecta; Diptera; Culicidae. RNAcentral also lists the same sequence under 3 other names. The record is from RNAcentral.